This 84-nucleotide transfer RNA is filed under the name Caudoviricetes sp. RNAcentral describes it as "tRNA-Leu". It matches the Rfam family "tRNA". Rfam says of the family: Transfer RNA (tRNA) molecules are approximately 80 nucleotides in length. Lineage: Duplodnaviria; Heunggongvirae; Uroviricota; Caudoviricetes. The record is from RNAcentral.
GCAUCAGUGGCGGAAUUGGUAGACGCCCUGGAUUUAGGUUCCAGUGCUCGUGAGGGCGUGUCAGUUCGAGUCUGACCUGAUGUA